Molecule: long non-coding RNA, 674 nt
Organism: Odocoileus virginianus texanus
Lineage: Eukaryota; Metazoa; Chordata; Mammalia; Artiodactyla; Cervidae
Source: RefSeq, a predicted model, not a curated record
ACAGGUCCAUUGUAAUACAGUCUGUUUUUAAGUGAGGAGACUGAGGCACAGGAAGAUUAAGACCAUUGGUAGUUGAGGAAGCCAAGAUUUGGACCUAAGUCAUACAACCUAAUCUCCUUUUUAAACACUACAGAAUCCCUAAGCUUCUUCAAAUUACAGACAGUUGUGGUUCAAAAUAUAUCCAUGAAUUCCCUGACACCCGUUCCUUUAAGACGGAGUCUAGCUCCCUUCCUGUUGUGGUUGGGCUGGAACUUUUACUCAGCGCUAACCAAGGGAACAAAGCAGAAGUGAUGGUGCACAGCCUUGGAGAGCAGGUCACCUUGGCUUUCUCUUUGCUCUGUCUCUUGGAUCAUUUGCUCUGGGCCAGCAACGUCGCUAAGACAAUGAUGCUAAGAGGUGGAAUUCUCUUUCUCCUUCACUCCUGUCGACUGGAUGCUACCUCUGAAGAAAUCAUUUUUGCUCUGAAUUAUCUGAGCACUGGAAGAAAAGUUUAAAAGGCUGACUGAGUGAUUUCAUGUCUUAAACACUGAUAGCUAUCAAAGCAGAAAAUCUUACCUCCCCUCUUUAUAUACGGGAUUCUGUUAAGAACGGAAAAAUAUAUUUAAAAAAAUUUUUUUACAUCAGGUCAAAGAUAUCUGAGUCCAAGUGGAAAAUGAAAAUAAGUAAAAUGAAAA